Molecule: transfer RNA, 75 nt
Filed under: Candidatus Yanofskybacteria bacterium RIFCSPLOWO2_02_FULL_43_10b
Lineage: Bacteria; Candidatus Yanofskyibacteriota
Description: tRNA-Arg
Rfam family: tRNA
About the family: Transfer RNA (tRNA) molecules are approximately 80 nucleotides in length. Their secondary structure includes four short double-helical elements and three loops (D, anti-codon, and T loops).
Source: RNAcentral
GUCCCCGUAAUUCAACGGAUAGAAUAGACCCGUCCUAAGGGUAAAAUGGGAGUUCAAUUCUUCCCGGGGACACAA